GACGAACGCUGGCGGCGCGCUUAACACAUGCAAGUCGAACGGGUUCAUUCCUUCGGGGAUGGAUCAGUGGCGAACGGGUGCGUAACACGUGAGCAACCUGCCCCUGCAUGGGGGAUAACCCUGGGAAACCGGGGCUAAUACCGCAUGCGCUCUUCGGGCUGAGUGGUCUGGAGAGGAAAGCUCCUGCAAGGGGGCGUGCAGGGAGGGGCUCGCGGCGUAUCAGCUAGUUGGCGGGGUAACGGCCCACCAAGGCGACGACGCGUAGCCGGUCUGAGAGGACGACCGGCCACAUUGGGACUGAGAUACGGCCCAGACUCCUACGGGAGGCAGCAGUGGGGAAUCUUGCGCAAUGGGCGAAAGCCUGACGCAGCGACGCCGCGUGGGGGAGGAAGCUUUUCGGAGUGUAAACCCCUGUCAGGAGGGAAGAACGGGCGGGAGAGGAAAUGCUCUCGUUUUGACGGUACCUCCAGAGGAAGCACCGGCUAACUCUGUGCCAGCAGCCGCCGUAAUAC
Molecule: ribosomal RNA, 512 nt
Filed under: uncultured bacterium
Lineage: Bacteria
Description: bacterial SSU rRNA
Rfam family: Bacterial small subunit ribosomal RNA
Source: RNAcentral